ACCUGUAGUGGUCUUACUGAAACAUUUUCGGACGCGGGUUCGAUUCCCGCCACCUCCAUUU
This 61-nucleotide transfer-messenger RNA is filed under the name Candidatus Endomicrobiellum mastotermitis. RNAcentral describes it as "partial transfer-messenger RNA". It matches the Rfam family "transfer-messenger RNA", at positions 312 to 374 of the family's 374-position model. From Rfam's summary of the family: Bacterial tmRNA, also known as 10Sa RNA or SsrA, is named for its dual tRNA and mRNA-like properties. Lineage: Bacteria; Pseudomonadati; Elusimicrobiota; Endomicrobiia; Endomicrobiales; Endomicrobiaceae. The record is from RNAcentral.